AAAGCGUGCGCAGGCGGUUAUGUAAGACAGAUGUGAAAUCCCCGGGCUCAACCUGGGAACUGCAUUUGUGACUGCAUGGCUAGAGUACGGUAGAGGGGGAUGGAAUUCCGCGUGUAGCAGUGAAAUGCGUAGAUAUGCGGAGGAACACCGAUGGCGAAGGCAAUCCCCUGGACCUGUACUGACGCUCAUGCACGAAAGCGUGGGGAGCAAACAGGAUUAGAUACCCUAGU
Molecule: ribosomal RNA, 230 nt
Filed under: uncultured bacterium
Lineage: Bacteria
Description: partial 16S ribosomal RNA
Rfam family: Bacterial small subunit ribosomal RNA
Source: RNAcentral